GGCCGUGUGGCAAAAUGGUUACUGCGUUGCUUUCCGAUUUCAGGGACCGCCCCAGGGCGCGACGAGAGGCAGAGAUUGUGGGUUCGAUCCCCACCAUGGUCG
Molecule: non-coding RNA, 102 nt
Organism: Mycena maculata
Lineage: Eukaryota; Fungi; Basidiomycota; Agaricomycetes; Agaricales; Mycenaceae
Source: the annotation of a GenBank genome assembly